RNAcentral lists this ribosomal RNA (491 nucleotides) under uncultured bacterium. Its description in RNAcentral is "partial 16S ribosomal RNA". It matches the Rfam family "Bacterial small subunit ribosomal RNA", at positions 29 to 507 of the family's 1533-position model. The record is from RNAcentral.
GUGAACGCUGGCGGUAGGCCUAACACAUGCAAGUCGAACGGCAGCACAGUAAGAGCUUGCUCUUACGGGUGGCGAGUGGCGGACGGGUGAGGAAUACAUCGGAAUCUACUUUUUCGUGGGGGAUAACGUAGGGAAACUUACGCUAAUACCGCAUACGACCUACGGGUGAAAGCAGGUGAUCUUCGGACCUUGCGCGAUUGAAUGAGCCGAUGUCGGAUUAGCUAGUUGGCGGGGUAAGGGCCCACCAAGGCGACGAUCCGUAGCUGGUCUGAGAGGAUGAUCAGCCACACUGGAACUGAGACACGGUCCAGACUCCUACGGGAGGCAGCAGUGGGGAAUAUUGGACAAUGGGCGCAAGCCUGAUCCAGCCAUACCGCGUGGGUGAAGAAGGCCUUCGGGUUGUAAAGCCCUUUUGUUGGGAAAGAAAAGCAGCAGGUUAAUACCCCGCUGUUCUGACGGUACCCAAAGAAUAAGCACCGGCUAACUUCGUG